Molecule: small nucleolar RNA, 107 nt
Organism: Gossypium raimondii (Peruvian cotton)
Lineage: Eukaryota; Viridiplantae; Streptophyta; Magnoliopsida; Malvales; Malvaceae
Rfam family: Plant small nucleolar RNA R71
About the family: R71 is a member of the C/D box family of snoRNAs containing the C (UGAUGA) and D (CUGA) box motifs. Multiple nearly identical copies of this snoRNA have been identified in Arabidopsis, and it is thought to function as a 2'-O-ribose methylation guide for 18S ribosomal RNA.
Source: Rfam
AUUCUAUGAUGAGGGCACUUCCAUAAUAAUUCUUUAUACAUUUCCCAUGCCUCAUACAAUGACUCAUCAUCCAUUUUUUGGAAAACAAUGAUCUCGUUCCUCAACUU